Molecule: ribosomal RNA, 406 nt
Filed under: uncultured bacterium
Lineage: Bacteria
Description: partial 16S ribosomal RNA
Rfam family: Bacterial small subunit ribosomal RNA
Source: RNAcentral
AUUGAACGCUGGCGGAAGGCCUAACACAUGCAAGUCGAACGAGUGGCGGACGGGUGAGUAAUGUCGGGGAAACUGCCCGAUGGAGGGGGAUAACUACUGGAAACGGUAGCUAAUAACGCAUACCAUCGGAUGUGCCAAGAUGGGAUUAGCUUGGAGGUGAGGGAACGGCUCACCUAGGCGACGAGCCCGAGCUGGUCUGAGAGGAGGACCAGCCACUCUGGAAAUGGUACACGGUCCAGACUCCUACGGGAGGCAGCAGUGGGGAAUAUUGCACAAUGGGCGCAAGCCUGAUGCUGCCAUGCCGCGUGUAUGAAGAAGUCCUUCGUUUUGUAUAGUACUUUCAGCGGGGAGGCGUUACCCGCAGAAGAAGCACCGGCUAACUCCGUGCCAGCAGCCGCGGUAAUUC